Molecule: ribosomal RNA, 320 nt
Filed under: uncultured bacterium
Lineage: Bacteria
Description: bacterial SSU rRNA
Rfam family: Bacterial small subunit ribosomal RNA
Source: RNAcentral
UGACGGUACCUGACUAAGAAGCCCCGGCUAACUACGUGCCAGCAGCCGCGGUAAUACGUAGGGGGCAAGCGUUAUCCGGAAUUACUGGGUGUAAAGGGUGCGCAGGUGGUAAGGCAAGUCAGGAGUGAAAUGCCGGGGCUCAACCCCGGAACUGCUCUUGAAACUGUUUAACUGGAGUGCAGGAGAGGUAAGCGGAAUUCCUAGUGUAGCGGUGAAAUGCGUAGAUAUUAGGAGGAACACCAGUGGCGAAGGCGGCUUACUGGACUGUAACUGACGUUGAGGCUCGAAAGCGUGGGGAGCAAACAGGAUUAGAUACCCUG